RNAcentral lists this ribosomal RNA (253 nucleotides) under uncultured bacterium. Its description in RNAcentral is "partial 16S ribosomal RNA". It matches the Rfam family "Bacterial small subunit ribosomal RNA", at positions 524 to 776 of the family's 1533-position model. The record is from RNAcentral.
UACGAAGGGGGCUAGCGUUGUUCGGAUUUACUGGGCGUAAAGCGCACGUAGGCGGAUCGUUAAGUCGGGGGUGAAAUCCUGGAGCUCAACUCCAGAACUGCCUUCGAUACUGGCGAUCUUGAGUCCGGAAGAGGUGAGUGGAACUGCGAGUGUAGAGGUGAAAUUCGUAGAUAUCGAGAAGAACACCAGUGGCGAAGGCGGCUCACUGGCCCGAUACUGACGCUGAGGCACGAAAGCGUGGGGAGCAAACAGG